UCGAUUUCUCUAAUUGCCUUUCUCCACCCAUGCCACCGACGCGACGAGAUGCUUGACCUAGCCGAAAAAGUCCACUGACCUUUACGUCUGCUGAGAGAGACACUUUUGCGCUCUAUCCUUUGGGCUGGGACUGGUUGGCGAGAUGAAGAACGAUCGCUGGAAGAGGAUCAUCUAUCCUAGACAAGACGUUCUUCGUGCUUCUCAGCGCGGAUGGACGAUUUUCGCGAUACUAAUUUCCGGUAACGAAGUUACCGAAAGGCGGUUUGUCUGAGGACUUCAAAGCUGAGACCUUUCACUUUCGUCUGACUAGUGGUAGAGGUAGGAGUGGUUUUCAUAGAUCGGUCGUGAUAGGAAUAAAGUUUGAACAGAUAGUCAGGUUGUGCCCGUGUGAAAAGACGUGAACCCCAUCGUGCUCAGAAGGUAGAAAUUCUCUGUGUUUUUUAAACCCAUGAGCUAUAAUCAGCACGGCGCACUAGUGACACCCAACCACAUCGCCAGCAACCGUCAACCCACCGACAGUCGGACAGAGAUCUGGCUAGCCAAAAGACCGGAAGAGGGCCAACGACACCACGUGCCCGGAACAACCACCUAUAGGCCGAUCAGGGAUCGGCAGCUGCAGCCAACGACAACCGUGAAGGAAUAAAGCGACGAGCAGCAGAGGAAAAGGGAUCCGCGUGGGCGGAUCGGACUAAUCGACGCCAGGAACAGCGAGCAACGGACA
Long non-coding RNA from Wyeomyia smithii (pitcher-plant mosquito), 721 nucleotides. RefSeq lists it as uncharacterized. The record is from RefSeq and is a predicted model, not a curated record. The transcript has 3 exons. NCBI's taxonomy places the organism in Eukaryota, Metazoa, Arthropoda, Insecta, Diptera, Culicidae.